GUGGGGAAUAUUGGACAAUGGGCGCAAGCCUGAUCCAGCCAUGCCGCGUGAGUGAUGAAGGCCUUAGGGUUGUAAAGCUCUUUCAGCUGGGAAGAUAAUGACGGUACCAGCAGAAGAAGCCCCGGCUAACUUCGUGCCAGCAGCCGCGGUAAUACGAAGGGGGCUAGCGUUGUUCGGAAUCACUGGGCGUAAAGCGCACGUAGGCGGAUCGAUAAGUCAGGGGUGAAAUCCCGAGGCGCAACCUCGGAACUGCCUUUGAUACUGUCGACCUUGAGUCCGGGAGAGGUGAGUGGAACUCCGAGUGUAGAGGUGAAAUUCGUAGAUAUUCGGAAGAACACCAGUGGCGAAGGCGGCUCACUGGCCCGGUACUGACGCUGAGGUGCGAAAGCGUGGGGAGCAAACAGGAUUAGAUACCCCGGUAGUCC
Molecule: ribosomal RNA, 425 nt
Filed under: uncultured bacterium
Lineage: Bacteria
Description: partial 16S ribosomal RNA
Rfam family: Bacterial small subunit ribosomal RNA
Source: RNAcentral